Long non-coding RNA from Apis cerana (Asiatic honeybee), 2555 nucleotides. RefSeq lists it as uncharacterized. NCBI's taxonomy places the organism in Eukaryota, Metazoa, Arthropoda, Insecta, Hymenoptera, Apidae. The record is from RefSeq and is a predicted model, not a curated record.
UGUUCAAUGACUUUGUUAUCUUUCUAAUAAUAAAAAAUUUUAUAUUUUUUUUGAUAAAAAAAUUCAUUCUUUUUUAUUAAAAAAUUUAAAUAGAUGAAAAGCGUUCCAUAAAAACUAAAAACUAAACAAUUUUUUUGUUAUAAAAAAUGAGUAUGGUUAUAUGUUAUCAUGAUGAAAAAGAAUAUUUUUUCAUAAUGAGUCUUAUUAGUUUCUGUAUUGCUUUUUAAUAAUAUGAAAGCUUAUUAUCGAACAAAUAUCGAUGUUGUUAAUUAAUUACAAAGUGGAAAGUGCAAUAACUUGUAUGCAGAGAUGUCAUAAAUACAUUUUUAGAAAAUAUUUUUUCGAUAACUCUCCAUAUAUAGUAUAUAUAUAUUCUGUAUAUUUGCAUAACAUAUUUUGAAAAUAUAUACAUAAACUUUUUCAUGAUUAAAUUUUAAUGGUUACUCAAUGUUAGAUUAAUACAUUCGUGAAACAUCUUUGAAAAAUUUGUUUGUGAUGAUGUGAACUGGUCAGAAGAUGAUAUAAAUAAUUUGAAUAGAAUUAAAAACCUUGUGUUAUACGUAGUAUUAUCUUCCAUUGGAAUAACUGGAAGUUGAUAAGGAGGCUUCUCAGCCCAAGGUUUUUCAACUGGAACUAUACUUUCCACAGGUUGAUAACUCAACUGCAUAGUAGUAUCUGAUUCAAAUGGAAUAUCUGAUGGACGACAAGAACGUACAGGUGCAUAUUUUUGAGGAGGUGAAGUUGCAGGAACAAGAUUGUCAUGGUAACGAAGAUCUGGAUCUAAUGGUAUAUUCUUCCAUGUAUAAUCAUGUCUUUGUGUAGUUACAUCUUGUAUGGGCCCGCGACCUAGCCAUUGUUUCUCACAAGGUAAAAUUGGAGGUUCUGUUUUGAAACACCAAUUACCUAAGAAACUCAUCUGAAAAAAAAAGAACAUGGAUAUAAACCGAUUUUUCAUUUCUGAUAAUCUGACAAAAAAAUGUUCCGAAUAAAAAUUAAUCUUUUUUAUAUUUAUAAAUUUAUAAUAUAAUAUAAUUUUUCCAAGUUUUUUCAAAAAAGGAAAUACGCUUAAAAAAUUGAAAACUAGUAUUGAUAAACUUGAAAUUAUUUCUUUCUUAAUUUACAUUAAUCUACAUUAAUUUUUAAUUUUUAUAUUAUUGUAUAUAAUAUAUUUUUUUAAAUACAUUAUAUAUAAAUAAUGAAAAAAAUAAAAAAGUUUAAACUCUAAUCGCUUUAAAAUAUCAGAGAAUGUUACAUUGCAAUUUUAAAAAUAAAAAGAUUAAAAUAUUGCGCGUAAAAAGUUUUGUGAUACAUUAAUAUUCUUAGAAAUUUCUCGAGGCAUUGAGGAAUCAUGUUUUUUAUUUUAUUUCAUAAUUACUUUGAAUGAUAGAAAAAAAUUAUAUUUUUAUAUUAAAUUUGACAUUUAUACGAUCCAGCAUAUAUCAAGCAUUUUAUAAUUAUUAAUAUAUUAUAAUUAUUAGAUUAAUAUUUCAAUAUAUAUGAAGAUGAGGAACAUGAUAAAUAAAAAAUAUUUUAUAUUUUAAAAAAUAUCAUAUCAUUUAUCAUUAUGAUUUGAUAUCUAUUUUAUAUUUAUUAAUUUAAUAUUAUCUAUUUUAUAUCUAUUUUACUUACACGAUGAGUGGUAUCAUAAGACAAAGGACAAGAUGAAAAUUCAAUAUUAUUAGGUUGUAUUAUAGGAUUUCGUUUAUCCCCUCCACAACCAAAAUAACUUAGACGAUAAGUUGUAUUAUCGUCUGUGCAACAACCAGCACUUAAAAGAUUAUCGUUUUCCGGUAUUAUUAUUGGUGAACGUUUUUCUAUUGUCUGUGGCCAGUAACUUAAUUUAUAAGUUGUGCAACCCUCUAAUGGUUCUACUGGUGGCAUAUAUUCCUUUUUGCCCCAGGAAGGUUCUUCCUAAAAAGUAGUAAAUGUUAAAAAUAUAAAAAUAUAUUUUAAUAAUAAUGUGAAAAUUAAUGAAUUUGGCCAAUAACUAAGUUUAUAUGUCGUAUAAUCUUCCAUUGGAAUAUCAGAUUUAACAUAUUUUCUUAUGGGAGCAUAAGAUGGAGGAGGUAUUUUAGAAGCACAAUCAGAUUCAAAGUAACUUAAUUUAUAUGUUGUAUCGUCUAGAAAAGAUAUAAAAAUUUAAAUUAAGUUGUAAUAUAAAUUAUUCAUAAUAUAUAUAAAAAAAAAUAAUAUAAUAAAAAGAUAAUAAAAAAUAAUAAGAAAAUAUAGUAAAAAAAUUUUAAAUUAGAAUUAUUUGUUUAUAAUUUAAAAGAAAUUUUUAUAAAUUUCAAAUAUUCAAAUAUAAUUGUAAGAUAUAUUAUAUUAUGCCGAAAAUUACUAGAAAUUCUUUUAUCUAGAAACAUUACUAUUUUUAGUAAAAAUAUUAUGAUACAAGAUUAGGAAAGAAGAAUAUUAAAAAAUAAGGAAUAAUAUUCAUAAUUUUCAAUAUUCAUAAUUAUGAAUUAAUAUUCAUAAUUAGAGAAACUUUUAUUUUUGCUAUAAGUAAAAUAUAACGAUUUAAUGUAUAAAAAUAUAAUAAAAUUAGAAUAAGUUUC